This 910-nucleotide ribosomal RNA is filed under the name Wellcomia hugoti. RNAcentral describes it as "SSU rRNA". It matches the Rfam family "Eukaryotic small subunit ribosomal RNA", at positions 106 to 1002 of the family's 1831-position model. The record is from RNAcentral. Lineage: Eukaryota; Metazoa; Nematoda; Chromadorea; Rhabditida; Oxyuridae.
ACAGCCAUAAUUUACUGAAUGUAGAAAAUCCUACGUGGAUAACUGUGGCAAUUCUAGAGCUAAUACAUGCACCAAAGCUCCGAUUAAUGACGAGCGCACCUAUUAGACUGAAAAACCAAUCGAAUAUUCGAAGAAUAUUCGUAGUUUUUGGUGACUCUGGAUAGCUACAGCUGAUCGCACGGUCUAGAACCGGCGACAUGUUUAUCAAGUGUCUGCCUUAUCAACUUGAUGGUAGUCUAUUGGUCUACCAUGGUUGUCACGAGUAACGGAGAAUUAGGGUUCGUCUCCGGAGAGGGAGCCUGAGAAACGGCUACCACAUCCAAGGAAGGCAGCAGGCGCGCAAAUUACCCACUCUCAGCAUGAGGAGGUAGUGACGAAAAAUAACGAGACCGGUCUCAAUGAGGCCGGUUAUCGUAAUGGGUACAAUUUAAACCCGUUAACGAGGAUCUAUGAGAGGGCAAGUCUGGUGCCAGCAGCCGCGGUAAUUCCAGCUCUCAAAGUGUAUAUCGUUACUGCUGCGGUUAAAAAGCUCGUAGUUGGAUCUGCAUUCAAGCGCUUGGUCCACCAUUUUGGUGCUGAACUAAGUUAUUUGCUUGAACCAAAAUUAUGCUGGUUUUCCAUAGGUUACUUUUACCGGUCGCUUAUGGUGGCUAGCAAGUUUACUUUGAAAAAAUUAGAGUGCUUAAAGCAGGCAUUUAUCGCCUGAAUAAUGGUGCAUGGAAUAAUAAAAUAGGAUCUCGGUUCUAUUUUGUUGGUUUUUGUGAAUUGAGAUAAUGGUUAAGAGGGACAAACGGGGGCAUUCGUAUCGCUGCGCGAGAGGUGAAAUUCUUGGACCGUAGCGAGACGCCCUACUGCGAAAGCAUUGCCAAGAAUGUUUUCAUUAAUCAAGAACGAAAGUCAGAGGUUCGAA